GAUGAACGCUAGCGGCGGGCUUAAUACAUGCAAGUCGAACGGUAACAGGGUAGCAAUAUCGCUGACGAGUGGCAGACGGGUGAGGAACACGUACACAACUUUCCUCUUACUGGGGCACAACUCCGAGAAAUCGGGGCUAAUUCCCCAUAAUAUCCGGGUGUGGCAUCACAUUCGGAUUAAAACUCCGGUGGUAAGAGAUGGGUGUGCGUCUGAUUAGCUAGUUGGUAGGGUAACGGCCUACCAAGGCAACGAUCAGUAGCUGGUGUGAGA
RNAcentral lists this ribosomal RNA (270 nucleotides) under uncultured bacterium. RNAcentral describes it as "partial 16S ribosomal RNA". It matches the Rfam family "Bacterial small subunit ribosomal RNA", at positions 28 to 297 of the family's 1533-position model. The record is from RNAcentral.